AGCGUAGACGGACUGGCAAGUCUGAUGUGAAAGGCGGGGGCUCAACCCCUGGACUGCAUUGGAAACUGUUAGUCUUGAGUGCCGGAGAGGUAAGCGGAAUUCCUAGUGUAGCGGUGAAAUGCGUAGAUAUUAGGAGGAACACCAGUGGCGAAGGCGGCUUACUGGACUGUAACUGACGCUGAGGCGCGAAAGUGUGGGGAGCAAACA
RNAcentral lists this ribosomal RNA (207 nucleotides) under uncultured bacterium. Its description in RNAcentral is "partial 16S ribosomal RNA". It matches the Rfam family "Bacterial small subunit ribosomal RNA", at positions 568 to 774 of the family's 1533-position model. The record is from RNAcentral.